UCGCGAGGAUGGAGGUCAUAUAAACGAAGGAGACGAUUCCCAAUUCACUGAGUCCAAAGUUUAGUCUAAACUGUAGCAAUAGCAGUGUUCGUUAGAAGCAACUGUGACAUGAAAACCACAACCAUGGUUUCGACUCUCUGUCUCUUUUUUAUUUUGUCUUCUUUUUUCCUGUUCUCAGACGCAUUUGUCAGUAACAGACCCGGUAGAAGGUCUUUUAAGCACGAAAGAAACAUUCAAGACAUUUGCCAGAUCGCCUUAGAACAAUGUGUUGGCAUGAGACCUGAGCAGCAGUCACGUGACAUAAAGGCUGAAGAUACAAGACUCAAGAGAAGGGACAUCGAUUUAUUUUACCGAUGAACGAAAAUAGCACAAAUCAAGGCGCCCUCGGAGUAAACUAUUGCUUCUGUAAAUUAGCACUGAAGGAGAAAGUUUGAUCAUUAAAGAGACUGAAAAAAGAGCGAAGUAGCUAA
Long non-coding RNA from Stylophora pistillata, 470 nucleotides. RefSeq lists it as uncharacterized. The record is from RefSeq and is a predicted model, not a curated record. Lineage: Eukaryota; Metazoa; Cnidaria; Anthozoa; Scleractinia; Pocilloporidae.